Molecule: transfer RNA, 76 nt
Filed under: Clostridiales bacterium
Lineage: Bacteria; Bacillati; Bacillota; Clostridia; Eubacteriales
Also listed under: 4 other names
Description: tRNA-Thr
Rfam family: tRNA
About the family: Transfer RNA (tRNA) molecules are approximately 80 nucleotides in length. Their secondary structure includes four short double-helical elements and three loops (D, anti-codon, and T loops).
Source: RNAcentral
GCUGAUGUAGCUCAGUCGGUAGAGCGCAUCCUUGGUAAGGAUGAGGUCGGCGGUUCAAAUCCGCCCAUCAGCUCCA